Molecule: unclassified non-coding RNA, 248 nt
Filed under: uncultured fungus
Lineage: Eukaryota; Fungi
Description: sequence contains ITS2
Rfam family: 5.8S ribosomal RNA (bases 1-52)
Source: RNAcentral
AACGCAUAUUGCGCCCGCCAGUAUUCUGGCGGGCAUGCCUGUUCGAGCGUCAUUUCAACCCCCCCAAGCGCUGCUUGGUGUUGGGGCUCUAUAGCACUAUAGGCCCUGAAAUCUAGUGGCGGACUCGCUAGGACUCCGAGCGCAGUAUAUUUCUCGCUUUAGGGGGGUCUGGCGGGCUCUGGCCGUUAAGCAAACCCACUAUAGCAAAGGUUGACCUCGGAUCAGGUAGGAAUACCCGCUGAACUUAA